This 253-nucleotide ribosomal RNA is filed under the name uncultured bacterium. RNAcentral's name for it is "partial 16S ribosomal RNA". It matches the Rfam family "Bacterial small subunit ribosomal RNA", at positions 524 to 776 of the family's 1533-position model. The record is from RNAcentral.
UACAGAGGGGGCAAGCGUUAUUCGGAAUUAUUGGGCGUAAAGGGCGCGUAGGCGGCCAGGCAAGUGGAAGGUGAAAUCCCUCGGCUCAACCGAGGAACUGCCCUCCAAACUGCCGGGCUCGAGUCCGGGAGAGGUGAGUGGAAUUCCCAGUGUAGCGGUGAAAUGCGUAGAUAUUGGGAGGAACACCAGUGGCGAAGGCGGCUCACUGGACCGGAACUGACGCUGAGGCGCGAAAGCGUGGGGAGCAAACGGG